This is a non-coding RNA of Urocitellus parryii (Arctic ground squirrel), 625 nucleotides long. The record is from RefSeq and is a predicted model, not a curated record. Lineage: Eukaryota; Metazoa; Chordata; Mammalia; Rodentia; Sciuridae.
GACAAGUGUUGGACAGCCGGAGUCAGUCCCCAUGGAGACUAUCUUUGAUAACAGAUUUCUUUUGGGGAAUAGCUGAGUUUGUGGUUUUGUUUUUUAAAACUCUGCUUCAGCAAGAUGUGAAAAAAAGAAGAGGCUAUGGAAACUCAUCUGAUUCCAGAUAUGAUGAUGGAAGAGGGCCACCAGGAAACCCUCCCCGAAGAAUGGGUCGAAUCAAUCAUCUCCAGGGCCCCAGCCCUCCCCCAAUGGGUGGUGGAUGAGGAAGGUAAAUGUCUGCUCUAAGAAGCAGACAACUAAACGUACACAUUCAUAGAAGAAGGAAACCAUUAAGAAGUGGAGGGCUACCAUGCUAGACAAGUGGAGGAAUGUGUACGUCUAUAUAAGGAUUGCUCUGUGUCCUCACAGAUCAAUGAGGUCAUGCUGGGAAUUCCCUCUGCAGGGAUCUGGCCUGACUGACAUGCAAGUCCAUAAAUGCACAUGUUUGUCUCAUUAUCUUUUUUGUAUAGUAAAGUAUUAAUAUAGUUUUAAUAAGUAAAUAUUUUUAGGUUGUAAAACUGGUUCCUCAUCUUUAUAUAAUUAAUCACAAAACACUCUAAACCUGAAGAAAAUAAAGGCUGCAUAUUCAGUG